This is a small nuclear RNA of Anolis sagrei ordinatus, 184 nucleotides long. RefSeq annotates it as U2 spliceosomal RNA. The record is from RefSeq and is a predicted model, not a curated record. NCBI's taxonomy places the organism in Eukaryota, Metazoa, Chordata, Lepidosauria, Squamata, Anolidae.
AUCGCUUCUUGGCCUUUUGGCUAAGAUCAAGUGUAGUUUGUAGUAUCCUCUCACUCUGCUUGGCUGGAAAAGAUAUUACAGAAUGCGAACUAGAUAAUUCUAUUAUCAAGGUGAUUUUUAAAAAUGAAAGUAAUGAUCUCAGGCAUUUUAUAAGCAUCAGCUACUUCUCUUUAAGGCACCACCA